CCUACGGGGGGCAGCAGUGGGGAAUAUUGGACAAUGGGGGGAACCCUGAUCCAGCGACGCCGCGUGAGUGAAGAAGUAUUUCGGUAUGUAAAGCUCUAUCAGCAGGGAAGAAAAUGACGGUACCUGACUAAGAAGCCCCGGCUAACUACGUGCCAGCAGCCGCGGUAAUACGUAGGGGGCAAGCGUUAUCCGGAUUUACUGGGUGUAAAGGGAGCGUAGACGGUGCAGCAAGUCUGAUGUGAAAGGGCGGGGCCGAACCCCGGGACUGCAUUGGAAACUGGUGAACUGGAGUACAGGAGAGGUAAGUGGAAUUCCGAGUGUAGCGGUGAAAGGCGUAGAUAUUAGGAGGAACACGAGUGGCGAAGGCGACUUACUGGACUGUAACUGACGAUGAUGCGCGAAAGCGUGGGGAGCAAACAGGAUUAGAUAACCGAGUAGUC
This 440-nucleotide ribosomal RNA is filed under the name uncultured bacterium. RNAcentral's name for it is "partial 16S ribosomal RNA". It matches the Rfam family "Bacterial small subunit ribosomal RNA", at positions 338 to 795 of the family's 1533-position model. The record is from RNAcentral.